CUCUAGAAGGAAUCACACAUGGUCGUUUAUUCCCAUUAGCAACCCCAAACAAGCCAGUGGCUUUACCCCAACAGCAGAAAAGCCUAGGUUAUUUUUAAAUGUACUCAGUUUAACGUUUCAUAAUCCGUGAUUUCCCAACGACAAAAAGAAGCGAUGGCACAGCUGUGAAAGUUACAUGAGAACUCCGAGGGCUACCAAGUAGGGAAAGAGGCAACAGAGGGCAAUGCACACGCUCUAGACGAGUGGAAGGCCUGGGAUCCCCGUCUGAGGAGCCUACUUCCGUUUCUGUAACAGCGUUGCCUGUUUGCUUUGGGGAGAUCUCGAGAAAAUACAGAAGCUUUGUCAGAGCCUAAAGAGGAAGUCGAGAACUGUAAUGAGAUGACAAGUCACUCUCUGACCCCCAACACAGCUUGUUUUUGAAGCAACUUGUUCCUGGACCCCCAGUCCAGCUUGUUUCAUGAAAGCUGAGAGGUGGAUGUCCUGUAUUUCUGCCACUGGCUUGCCCUUAACUUCACUUGUCCCUUCAGCUCUCGACUCCCCGCCGUCAGAGGCAGUCCUGAGCCAUCUUUUGCGCAUCGUUCCUGUGACUUAAGAGCUGGUCUCCUGGACUCCCGAUGUCUGUUUCCUUGUGAGGCGCCUCUCUGCCUCACGUGCUGCUGCGAUGUCUGUUCUCAACUUUCUUCUGCCAUCCACACAUCCACAGAGGGCUGAUCUCUCGAACCUUGAGUAAUUGCUGGAAGAUAAAGCAUUGCAACCAAAGAUUGGAGAGGGCAGUCCAUUCUUAGAGAUGGCACAAUGAUUAUCAAGCCGGCUGAGCCCACCAAGUAUCUUUAUCUUCAGAAAAACAGAGGACAAACUCAUUCAACCUAGAGUGGCUCCGAUCGUCACCUCUCCCGAGGGUGUUAACGCUCCAAACAGAAGAUACGAAGGAAGAGGACGGGAGCCUCGGGAAGAGAAUCGAGAGGACUUCCCGCCGCCCAGACCUCGAAACGCAACUGUGCGCUUUCGCCUGUCCCUUGAACAACCACAUGUGUAUUUCCUGACUCAAAACAUAGUUCAUAAUCUAAUGAGGUCUUUCAGAUUAGCUUCUUUCGGUGGAUAUGAAAUUCUUGUAGGUAUACAAUUUAAAUGACAAGUACUAUGCCUUCCACGGCUGAAGGCCACCAAAUGGAGAGAACGCUUGGAAAAUCAGAGAAUCGAUGGAAAACUUUAAAACUCCCGGUGGCCGCGCUGACCAGUAAAACCGGACGGUCCGGAAAAGGGACGUGCCGGGCAGCACGAGCACCCGCAUUCUUCUGCCUUCAUCGCCUGCAGUAAAAGUUCGCCGCAAAGGUCAGCCCCUCCUCCAUCGCCACUCGCGCGUGUCUUUUCUUCUCUAAGUGCUAAUAUUUUUAAGAAAAAAUGCAAUGCACGUAUCUAUCUGCAAGAUAUUGCAGAUUUUCUUCAAUUUUCAUUUGUUGAAUAAAUAAAAGCAGAAUAUUGAAGAUUGA
This is a long non-coding RNA of Phacochoerus africanus (Common warthog), 1490 nucleotides long. RefSeq lists it as uncharacterized. The transcript is spliced from 3 exons. The record is from RefSeq and is a predicted model, not a curated record. NCBI's taxonomy places the organism in Eukaryota, Metazoa, Chordata, Mammalia, Artiodactyla, Suidae.